RNAcentral lists this ribosomal RNA (364 nucleotides) under Clostridioides difficile. Its description in RNAcentral is "partial 23S ribosomal RNA". It matches the Rfam family "Bacterial large subunit ribosomal RNA", at positions 658 to 1022 of the family's 2925-position model. The record is from RNAcentral. Lineage: Bacteria; Bacillati; Bacillota; Clostridia; Peptostreptococcales; Peptostreptococcaceae.
GUGUGGAGCCGUAGCGAAAGCGAGUUUUAACUGAGCGUUCAGUUACUUGACGUAGACCCGAAACCGGGCGACCUACCCAUGAGCAGGAUGAAGCGAAAGUAAAAUUUCGUGGAGGUCCGAACCCACGAGCGUUGAAAAGCUCGGGGAUGACUUGUGGGUAGCGGUGAAAUUCCAAUCGAGCCCGGAGAUGGCUGGUUCUCCCCGAAAUAGCUUUAGGGCUAGCCUCAAGGUGAGAGAUACGGAGGUAGAGCACUGAAUGUCCUAGGGGGUAUUGCACCUACCGAAGACUAUCAAACUCCGAAUGCCGUCAUCUUAUACUUGGGAGUCAGACUGUGGGUGAUAAGAUUCAUAGUCGAAAGGGCAA